Molecule: ribosomal RNA, 253 nt
Filed under: uncultured bacterium
Lineage: Bacteria
Description: partial 16S ribosomal RNA
Rfam family: Bacterial small subunit ribosomal RNA
Source: RNAcentral
GACAGAGGGGGCAAGCGUUGCUCGGAAUUACUGGGCGUAAAGGGCGCGUAGGCGGGAUGGCAAGUCGGUCGUGAAAUCCCUCGGCUCAACCGAGGAACGUCGAUCGAUACUGCUGUUCUUGAGGAUUGCAGAGGAGACUGGAAUUCCCGGUGUAGCGGUGAAAUGUGUAGAGAUCGGGAGGAACACCGGUGGCGAAGGCGGGUCUCUGGACAGUUCCUGACGCUGAGGCACGAAGGUCAGGGGAGCAAACGGG